GAUUCAUAAUAACUUAACGAAUCGCAUGGCCUUGCGCCGGCGAUGGUUCAUUCAAAUUUCUGCCCUAUCAACUUUCGAUGGUAGGAUAGUGGCCUACCAUGGUUUCUACGGGUAACGGGGAAUUAGGGUUCUAUUCCGGAGAGGGAGCCUGAGAAACGGCUACCACAUCCAAGGAAGGCAGCAGGCGCGCAAAUUACCCAAUCCCGACACGGGGAGGUAGUGACAAUAAAUACUGAUGGAGAGCUCUUUUGGGUUUUCUAGUUGGAAUGAGUACAAUUUAAAUUUCUUAACGAGGAACAAUUGGAGGGCAAGUCUGGUGCCAGCAGCCGCGGUAAUUCCAGCUCCAAUAGCGUAUAUUAAAGUUGUUGCAGUUAAAAAGCUCGUAGUUGAAACUCAGGCCUGGCUGGCCGGUCCGCCUCACCGCGAGCACUGGUUCGGCCGGGCUUUUUCCUUCUGGGGAGCCGCAUGCCCUUCACUGGGUGCGUUGGGGAACCAGGACUUUUACUUUGAAAAAAUUAGAGUGUUCAAAGCAGGCAUAUGCUCGGAUACAUUAGCAUGGAAUAAUAGAAUAGGACGUGUGGUUCUAUUUUGUUGGUUUCUAGGACCGCCGUAAUGAUUAAUAGGGAUAGUCGGGGGCAUCAGUAUUCAAUUGUCAGAGGUGAAAUUCUUGGAUUUAUUGAAGACUAACUACUGCGAAAGCAUUUGCCAAGGAUGUUUUCAUUAAUCAGUGAAC
Molecule: ribosomal RNA, 733 nt
Filed under: Peltigera esslingeri
Lineage: Eukaryota; Fungi; Ascomycota; Lecanoromycetes; Peltigerales; Peltigeraceae
Also listed under: 2 other names
Description: SSU rRNA
Rfam family: Eukaryotic small subunit ribosomal RNA
Source: RNAcentral